This 31-nucleotide non-coding RNA is filed under the name Mus musculus (house mouse). Lineage: Eukaryota; Metazoa; Chordata; Mammalia; Rodentia; Muridae. The record is from RNAcentral.
UCAUAACUAUGGUCCAGAAGUGUAAGAACUA